Long non-coding RNA from Canis lupus familiaris (dog), 455 nucleotides. RefSeq lists it as uncharacterized. The record is from RefSeq and is a predicted model, not a curated record. Lineage: Eukaryota; Metazoa; Chordata; Mammalia; Carnivora; Canidae. The transcript has 2 exons.
ACAUUCUUGUCAAACUAACAAGUAUAAUGAGAUUGGUUGGUUGCUCCUAUAGCACCAGACCACAUGGGGAAAGAAAUGGAGCAGCUCAAGGAUAUCAACUUCCAGCUGAAGUGCCACAUAAACGAGCUGAGAUUGCUGAAAAACCAAAACCAGAAACUCAUCCCAAGUGGCUGAAGUAUAGUACAAAUUGAAUUUCCAACCUCGCUGCAUUCUACUCUUAAAGGAUAUGUGCACAUAAAUCCAUCUUCCAUCUAUGCUCUGCUGACUCAUUCGGAAAAAUCAGAAGUGAGAUGGUCGUUCUUCUCUGUUAAUAAUUACACAGGGACCUAAUGUAAAUAGAAGGAAUUAUAUGGAGAUCUUCCCAUCUAAUACAUGGUAUUUAUUUUCAUAAUUGUAUUAUGAUACAGGAAGCAUCAUCACUCAUUUUACAAAUAAAGUAUGUUAUAGAAUAGGAA